Long non-coding RNA from Acinonyx jubatus (cheetah), 597 nucleotides. RefSeq lists it as uncharacterized. The transcript has 2 exons. The record is from RefSeq and is a predicted model, not a curated record. Lineage: Eukaryota; Metazoa; Chordata; Mammalia; Carnivora; Felidae.
CGGCGCUCCUCCUCCCCACCUUCCCCGCCCGGAAGGCAAUGCAGGCACCUUUGCGCCCUGGGGAGACUGGAGGGGCCUCUCCAUCCUGCCUCCGCCAGCCAGUGCACUGGCCUUCACCUUCCUUGGUCCUGGCGGUUUUCGUGCAGUGUCUCUAGUGGACCCUUCAAGAUUUCAAGCCCGAGGAAGCCUGGCUGGCUCAGUCGGAGGAGUGUGCUACUCUUGAUCUCGCGGGUCGUGAAUUAGAACCCUACGGAUCAGCUGCAAGUGCGUUCCCGUGCAGACACUACUGAUACAUUUUCAGAACUGAGCGACCAUGAAGGAAGACGAACCAUGAGGUGAGAACCACGUCUUGACCUCAAAGCUCUGUGUUUUCGUCGUGGGAAGUCUCAGGAUUGUUCCUGACAGUUACACUUAAGAGCUCAUUACAGAUCAUUGGGCCGAAUUGGCACUGAGCCACUAUGUGGGAAAUUGAUGAAAAUUUACAUCUAUAAAAGAGUGGACCAUUUCACAAUAUAUACAUAUAUCAAAUCAUUCUAUUGUUUAUCUGAAGCGAAUACAGUGUUAUAUGUCAAUAAAAAAUAAUACAUGUGCAGCGGG